RNAcentral lists this unclassified non-coding RNA (527 nucleotides) under Hevea brasiliensis (rubber tree). The record is from RNAcentral. Lineage: Eukaryota; Viridiplantae; Streptophyta; Magnoliopsida; Malpighiales; Euphorbiaceae.
GCUCAGAAUGCAUUUACUCCGUAUGAUAAAUUCUGCCCCUUCUACAAGUCGGUCUGGAUGAUGCGUAAUAUCAUUCAUUUCUACAAUUUGGCUAAUCAGGCAGUAGAGAGGGGAGCGGGUAUGGAUGGCCAAAAGAUAACAUACAGUUUGAUUAAGCAUCGGUUGGGAGAUCUGUUCUAUCGCCUGGUGUCUCAGAAGUUCGAGGAUCCAGCUGAAGGAGAAGCAGCUCUCACUGAAAAAUUUAAGAAGCUACAUGAAGAUCUGACAAAUGGUUUCCGUGCUCUCGAGGACGAAACCCGGUAGAUGUAAAAGAUUUGCCGACUUUGUGCCAGGUCUGGGGCUUUUUCCUCCUUUUGAUUUUGUAGAAUAUUAUGAUGUAUUAUGGUUGGUUUGGGUUGCGGUCGCAACUUUUGGUUAGCUAUUAUUUAAUAAUGUGUAUUAUUUUUCCCCCUCAAGCUUUCCGGGUUCGUAUUUGGCGUUCAGAACUGAGAUUCUUAUAUUCCCUUAUUUAUCUUACAAUAUCUGUG